ACUGGCUUACAAACAUCUUACAAAGCAACAUGUUUUUUUUGCUAGAAUACCAUUAUUGGACUUUCGCAAGAGUUUUCUGGGAAGAUCGCAUGUGAUUUUCAUGUAACACAACAGAAGACAAAUAUUAGUGAAGAACUUCGACCAUAUGUCAAUGAGGGAAGAAUUUCUGAAAAGAUUCUGGAAGAACAUAUAUUUCAAAAUAACCUGUGCUAUAUAUGUGGACCACCACCUAUGAUACAGUCUGUUUCUAGUCAGCUUAUCAAUUUAGGAUUUCCCAAAGAAAAAAUUCUUUUUGAAAAAUGGUGGUAGUUUUUCUUAUGCAAGUUCUUAUACUCAGAGUAUGCAGAAAGUGUUAUUCUGUUUUACUGUAAAAUACUGUAUUUUACAAUAUUACAAUAAUUUAAAGUUGUUCUCUUAAAAUCUUAUUAUAGACCACAUGUAAAAAAUUUUGCUCACCAUUGUUGAGAAAUAGUUGGUCUGUCAUCUCAUUUCUGUUCCAUACUGCAAGUAAAACUGGCUUUUUCCUGUUUUGAAAACAUUUUAGAUUACAGUGCUGAUGCUAGUUUUUGUGUGUGUUUUUAUUAAUAUUAUACUGAUAUGGACAACUGGCUGGUAUAAUGGUCCUUGUGUCACAUCAACAAAUGUUUAUUAUUUUUCAGAGUUUAGAAAAUAACUGUUAAUCAGUAAGCGUUCCAACUGUCCUAUAAUGUUAGUCUAUAGUAUUAUGAUUUAAAUACCAAUAAAGUAAUCCUUUUCAUUUU
Molecule: long non-coding RNA, 761 nt
Organism: Polypterus senegalus (gray bichir)
Lineage: Eukaryota; Metazoa; Chordata; Cladistia; Polypteriformes; Polypteridae
Exons: 2
Source: RefSeq, a predicted model, not a curated record